Molecule: long non-coding RNA, 1237 nt
Filed under: Rattus norvegicus (Norway rat)
Lineage: Eukaryota; Metazoa; Chordata; Mammalia; Rodentia; Muridae
Description: long non-coding RNA NONRATT024632
Rfam family: mir-770 microRNA precursor family (bases 405-487)
Source: RNAcentral
AAACCAAACCAAACCAAACCAAAUCAGAUUCUUGUUAGGUGCCCAAGCAGGAGGACAGUAGUUUGGCUGGAUCCAGGGAGCAUGUGCAGACUUGAAAGCAGGGUGGACAGAUAGGUUUAUAGUAAAGGAGCUUUGGUGAGAGCUCAGUGCGCAGGCUCCGUAGAGAGAAGGCACGGAAGGUUGGGAAUGGGUGGGGCUGCUGCUACCCGAGUUGCUGAGGGUCUGAGAUACCAGCAAGGAGGAGGGGCCCCUGGAAGAAGCGUUUUUUGAGAUGGCUGAAGAAGGAAGAUGGGCCCUCCCUACCUCCGCUUCUAGCUUCUAGUUCCUAGCUCUUUAGUGUAGGCCCUGGAUAGAUGGCCCAGCCUCCGAUCGUGGAAGACACAGACUAACCUUGUCAGAAGCCACCUUCUGUGCCCCCAGCACCACGUGUCUGGGCCACGUGAGCAACGCCACGUGGGCCUGACGUGGAGCUGGGGCCGCAGGGGUCUGAUGGCCUCCUGUUUCAGAAUCUGGGGUUCCAGGCUCUGCCUCGGCGCCUAUCAUCCUUGGGACAUCUGCUGACCUGGCUCCGGAAGAUUGUCCACACCAGUCUGAGUGACCGUGUGAGAGGAGGGGGCGGGUGGAGAUGCUCAGAAGGAAAAGGCCAGAAGGGUCUUCUUUGCAUGGGGGUCGUGUGCAGUUUAGGGAGUCAGGCAAGGUGAGAAGAGGGCAGAUGUGGGAUCGGGUGAGGAGGAGAAUGCUGGGGCUACAUGGAAGCUACCAGUGGGAAGAUAGUAUGAAUAGGGCAGCACUGGGGUGUACUCUAGGUAGGCCUCGUCUUAAUGUUCAUGCCAAGAGAUUUGAAGGGGGUGUCAGGGGUUACUUUGGGUCCGUGGGACCUGCUGCUGCCUUGGAGGGCAGGAGGGCUUGGGUAGGUGACUUUGCUGUGUCACCUUGGGAAUCAGGAAGGGUAGCUGCAGCGGUUUGGUUUUGAGUCUGCGACUCUUAAUCAGAUCUGGAAUAAUACUUGCUAUUGUCUCUAGUUCUGGGGUUCUGAGAGUCACUGUAGAAUUCCCCAGGACAUGUGUGGGGAGGGUGGUCUGCAUGUGUUUCCAAGUUGGGGUCCUAGCACCUCCGCCUGCUCAGGGCUCUUAGCCAUAUUUGUUCGUUUCUUUCAACAUUGUAAAAAGAAGGCAAAUUUUAUCUUUUGAUUGACACGCAUAUGCAAAACACAACGUCCUUUCUUUGAUAAUACUGG